RNAcentral lists this ribosomal RNA (521 nucleotides) under uncultured bacterium. Its description in RNAcentral is "bacterial SSU rRNA". It matches the Rfam family "Bacterial small subunit ribosomal RNA", at positions 101 to 619 of the family's 1533-position model. The record is from RNAcentral.
AACGGGUGCGUAACACGUGGAUACAUUCCGGGAAGCGGGGGAUAGCCCAGGGAAACUUGGAUUAAUACCGCAUGUGGUCGAAAGACUAAAGGUGGGGACCGCAAGGCCUGCCACUUCCCGAUUGGUCCGCGGCCUAUCAGCUUGUUGGUGAGGUAAUGGCUCACCAAGGCUACGACGGGUAGCUGGUCUUAGAGGACGACCAGCCACACUGGAACUGAGACACGGUCCAGACACCUACGGGUGGCAGCAGUCGAGAAUCUUUCACAAUGGGGGCAACCCUGAUGGAGCGACGCCGCGUGGAGGAUAAGGUCUUCGGAUUGUAAACUCCUGUCAUGCGAGAACAAGGUACUCAGGUUAAUAACCUGAUUGUUUGAUGGUACCGCAAGAGGAAGAGACGGCUAACUCUGUGCCAGCAGCCGCGGUAAUACAGAGGUCUCAAGCGUUGUUCGGAAUCACUGGGCGUAAAGGGUGCGUAGGCUGCGCCGUAAGUCAGAUGUGAAAGCUCAGGGCUCAACCCUGAA